CCUACUCCACAAUGAUCUGAUCUCCCUUUACUCACACCCAUAGGAUGGUCAUUACAAAGGGAAGAACAUCAUCACAUACAAAGCACAAACACAAACAAUAGGGUGAGCUAGAUAUAAAAGAAUUCAAGCAAUUAUACAACAUAUCACAUUUACUUAAUUAUUCAAGCAAGGUAGAAUAGUACAUACAUCCUAACAUGUUAUGACCUAGACUUUACCGUUCAGACUUAGAAUGAAUACCGAGAUAUGGCGGCUUGUGCACUUGUGGUGGC
This 269-nucleotide long non-coding RNA is filed under the name Vigna radiata. RNAcentral describes it as "long non-coding RNA (VRAD_LNC007199)". Lineage: Eukaryota; Viridiplantae; Streptophyta; Magnoliopsida; Fabales; Fabaceae. The record is from RNAcentral.